AGGAGAGUUUGAUCCUGGCUCAGGAUGAACGCUGUGCGGCGUGCCUAACAGAUGCAAGUCGAACGAAGCGUCCCGCCCGAAGAGAAGGAGUGCUUGCACAAAUUUAAUUCAAUUGGGGCGACUUAGUGGCGGACGGGUGAGUAACGCGUGGGUAACCUGCCUUAUACAGGGGGAUAACAGUUAGAAAUGACUGCUAAUACCGCAUAAGCGCACAGAAUCGCAUGAUACAGUGUGAAAAGCCGAGACGGUAUAAGAUGGACCCGCGUCUGAUUAGCCAGUUGGCAGGGUAACGGCCUACCAAAGCGACGAUCAGUAGCCGGCCUGAGAGGGUGAACGGCCACAUUGGGACUGAGACACGGCCCAAACUCCUACGGGAGGCAGCAGUGGGGGAUAUUGCACAAUGGGGGAAACCCUGAUGCAGCGACGCCGCGUGAGCGAAGAAGUAUUUCGGUAUGUAAAGCUCUAUCAGCAGGGAAGAAAAUGACGGUACCUGACUAAGAAGCUCCGGCUAAAUACGUGCCAGCAGCCGCGGUAAUACGUAUGGAGCAAGCGUUAUCCGGAUUUACUGGGUGUAAAGGGAGCGUAGACGGUUUGCCAAGUCUGAUGUGAAAGGUGAGGGCUCAACCCUUAAACUGCAUUGGAAACUGGUAGACUAGAGUGUCGGAGAGGUAAGUGGAAUUCCUAGUGUAGCGGUGAAAUGCGUAGAUAUUAGGAGGAACACCAGCGGCGAAGGCGGCUUACUGGACGAUAACUGACGUUGAGGCUCGAAAGCGUGGGGAGCAAACAGGAUUAGAUACCCUGGUAGUCCCCU
This 811-nucleotide ribosomal RNA is filed under the name uncultured Bacillota bacterium. Its description in RNAcentral is "bacterial SSU rRNA". It matches the Rfam family "Bacterial small subunit ribosomal RNA", at positions 1 to 799 of the family's 1533-position model. Lineage: Bacteria; Bacillati; Bacillota. The record is from RNAcentral.